This 1424-nucleotide ribosomal RNA is filed under the name Pyrococcus yayanosii CH1. RNAcentral describes it as "16S ribosomal RNA". It matches the Rfam family "Archaeal small subunit ribosomal RNA". Lineage: Archaea; Methanobacteriati; Methanobacteriota; Thermococci; Thermococcales; Thermococcaceae. The record is from RNAcentral.
UCGGUUGAUUCCUGCCGGAGGCCACUGCUAUGGGGGUCCGACUAAGCCAUGCGAGUCAAGGGGGCGUCCCUUCUGGGACGCCACCGGCGGACGGCUCAGUAACACGUCGGUAACCUACCCUCGGGAGGGGGAUAACCCCGGGAAACUGGGGCUAAUCCCCCAUAGGCCUGGGGUACUGGAAGGUCCCCAGGCCGAAAGGGAGCCGUAAGGCUCCGCCCGAGGAUGGGCCGGCGGCCGAUUAGGUAGUUGGUGGGGUAACGGCCCACCAAGCCGAAGAUCGGUACGGGCCGUGAGAGCGGGAGCCCGGAGAUGGACACUGAGACACGGGUCCAGGCCCUACGGGGCGCAGCAGGCGCGAAACCUCCGCAAUGCGGGAAACCGCGACGGGGGGACCCCCAGUGCCGUGCCUCUGGCACGGCUUUUCCGGAGUGUAAAAAGCUCCGGGAAUAAGGGCUGGGCAAGGCCGGUGGCAGCCGCCGCGGUAAUACCGGCGGCCCGAGUGGUGGCCACUAUUAUUGGGCCUAAAGCGGCCGUAGCCGGGCCCGUAAGUCCCUGGCGAAAUCCCACGGCUCAACCGUGGGGCUCGCUGGGGAUACUGCGGGCCUUGGGACCGGGAGAGGCCGGGGGUACCCCCGGGGUAGGGGUGAAAUCCUAUAAUCCCGGGGGGACCGCCAGUGGCGAAGGCGCCCGGCUGGAACGGGUCCGACGGUGAGGGCCGAAGGCCAGGGGAGCGAACCGGAUUAGAUACCCGGGUAGUCCUGGCUGUAAAGGAUGCGGGCUAGGUGUCGGGCGAGCUUCGAGCUCGCCCGGUGCCGUAGGGAAGCCGUUAAGCCCGCCGCCUGGGGAGUACGGCCGCAAGGCUGAAACUUAAAGGAAUUGGCGGGGGAGCACUACAAGGGGUGGAGCGUGCGGUUUAAUUGGAUUCAACGCCGGGAACCUCACCGGGGGCGACGGCAGGAUGAAGGCCAGGCUGAAGGUCUUGCCGGACGCGCCGAGAGGAGGUGCAUGGCCGCCGUCAGCUCGUACCGUGAGGCGUCCACUUAAGUGUGGUAACGAGCGAGACCCGCGCCCCCAGUUGCCAGUCCCUCCCGCUCGGGAGGGAGGCACUCUGGGGGGACUGCCGGCGAUAAGCCGGAGGAAGGGGCGGGCGACGGUAGGUCAGUAUGCCCCGAAACCCCCGGGCUACACGCGCGCUACAAUGGGCGGGACAAUGGGACCCGACCCCGAAAGGGGAAGGGAAUCCCCUAAACCCGCCCUCAGUUCGGAUCGCGGGCUGCAACUCGCCCGCGUGAAGCUGGAAUCCCUAGUACCCGCGCGUCAUCAUCGCGCGGCGAAUACGUCCCUGCUCCUUGCACACACCGCCCGUCACUCCACCCGAGCGGGGUCCGGGUGAGGCCCAGUCUCCUUCGGGAGGCUGGGUCGAG